CUUAUAGUGUGUUGCCAAGUAAUGUGCUUGUGCUCUGGCCUUUCAUGCGCUCAAAGUGUGACUGUGUGUGUGUGUUAAAGAGGAGAUAUGUUUGUGGGUGUUUGCUCAGACUAAGAGUGUCGAACUUCCUGGAAGAAAAUCUGAGUUGCCGAGAAUUCUGCGAUCACUCACAAUAACAAAUUCCUGAAAACGAAGACUGUAAUCAAGAAGUGGAUCAGCUGGUCCACUUUGGAGGAAAUAAAGGACCACCGAAGAACCUCCUCUAACCCCAUCUCACCCACACUGCCUCCCCUACCAUCCUAACGACACUCUUUCUGCUGUGGAUCACUUCCAGUUCCUAGGAACUUCCCUCCGUUGGGACCUGUGAUGGUACCAUAAACACGGUUCUGCAGAAGGCUCAGCUUAGAAUGUCGUCCUGUGACACCUCAAGGAGUUCAUAGUAAUAUUGCGUAAAAAGCUUUGGGGUUCUUGAACUUGAAAAGCAACAUCUAAGUACAGUAGAUUUACCAUUUACUAUCCACGACUUGUCUAGAGUCUGAAAAAGGACAGCUAACAUCUCUGCAGACCCCACACAUCCUGGGCACAAAACGUUUGGGCUUUACCGUCAGGUCGCCGCAACCAAGGGCUGUUUGCAAAAAUUAGUCUUGAAAAGAGACAGUUCCUUUCCCCAGGCUUUCAUUCUGAUGAAAACGAUAAAUACCUCACCCCGAGUACUCAGCUACACUAUUGUGAGACAAAAUAUGUUUAUUGCAUUUCAUCACUCAAAGCCCACCCAUUCCUUUUCUGUAGAAGUUAAACUGAUUACUGUGUACCUAAGGUGAUGUUGGAGCUCUAUUACCAAAGCCAAGUUGUCGACUGUACCAAAUCAAGGCUAAAUAAAUCAGAUUCACAUUUUGA
Cyprinodon tularosa is the source of this 897-nucleotide long non-coding RNA. RefSeq lists it as uncharacterized. The record is from RefSeq and is a predicted model, not a curated record. The transcript has 2 exons. NCBI's taxonomy places the organism in Eukaryota, Metazoa, Chordata, Actinopteri, Cyprinodontiformes, Cyprinodontidae.